RNAcentral lists this ribosomal RNA (121 nucleotides) under Prolemur simus (greater bamboo lemur). The record is from RNAcentral. Lineage: Eukaryota; Metazoa; Chordata; Mammalia; Primates; Lemuridae.
AGUGCUAGGAUUACCACCCUGAAGGUGCCCAAUCUCGUCUGAUCUUGGAAGCUAAGCAGGGUCGGGCCAGUUAGUACUUGGAUGGGAGUCCAAAGGCUUUUAAAUGCAUGGCUCGGAAGUU